This is a long non-coding RNA of Girardinichthys multiradiatus, 762 nucleotides long. RefSeq lists it as uncharacterized. The record is from RefSeq and is a predicted model, not a curated record. NCBI's taxonomy places the organism in Eukaryota, Metazoa, Chordata, Actinopteri, Cyprinodontiformes, Goodeidae. The transcript is spliced from 3 exons.
AAAUUCAUUUUCAAACCAAUGCAUUUAAUUUCAAUUACACAAAUACAAAUUCAGUCAGAGCAUUUCAAAUUCAGUUUCUGAUGGCACAAGUUUCUUCCCAUAGUUUUAGUGGUAAUGGAUUCUUCCUUUCUAAGUGGCCUUUCAGCUCAUGCCACCACAGGACUUGUUUUACUGUGGAUAAUGGCAGCUUCAGCCAGGACCUUGACAAAGUUAAAUCCUUUGUAACCUCUGCAAACUGUGGUUUAGCUAAAGGAUGUAAAGAGGUAGAUUUCAAUAAAAUGUUACUACGACAGCUGAACUUUAAUUCUGGUUAAUUAGAAUCUAUAACUGAUUGUAGGUGUGUACCCACAAAGACUGAAGGCUGGAACUGAAUAAAAAAGGUCUCACAUGUUGGCAUUGUUAGGUGCCAGGUUGGGAUCUUCAAGUGAAAACAAACCAACAAUGAACUGGAGAGGAAAUGUAUGCGGGACACGUAUAGUCACUAGCAGCAAGGAGGAAACAUGUCCCCCCACUUUGGCGAUCAUGUUCCCGGGUACUGGACCUUCGCAUGGGGACCAUCUCCUCUGUAGACAUGCUCAGGUCGCUGCCAGCGCUGCAGUCUGCUGACAGAACUGUGGGAGAAAAAACCAUAAAUAUGCAAUCGCCCCUUCCAACACUAAAAGAGUGCAGCAAAUACGUCACCAGGCAGCAGGAUCAAGAAUUUGUGUCAUAAAGGGUGGUUGAACAGAGCUGGAGUGCAGAAAGAUGCCUGGAAGCAGCAUG